RNAcentral lists this unclassified non-coding RNA (597 nucleotides) under Hevea brasiliensis (rubber tree). The record is from RNAcentral. Lineage: Eukaryota; Viridiplantae; Streptophyta; Magnoliopsida; Malpighiales; Euphorbiaceae.
GAAAUGUUGUUUCAUUGUUGGGUUGAGAACCUUUUUUGAUCGUGCCUUAGUUUCCAGGAGAUUCUCUGCUACAUCCUCAUCAGAAGGUAAAAUAGCAGACACUAAAUCAGGUAUCCAGGUUGGAUUAUCCAUGACAAAAGCAACUAUACCAGGACAUUGCCUUUCGAGAUACUCCCGAGGAACACCAAGUUGAGCCAGCCUCAGAAGGACUCGAUCACGGCGCUUGAGAGGUUUAGGUUCAGCAGGCGAAUCGAUAUCCAUGUUAUCCAUGCCAAGACGUCAAAUACGCAACACCCAGUCUGAACAACAGAACCGCAAAAAUCACCGAAAUCCCCCCAGGAUUGCAAGUCCUAAACGGUUGUAGCAAGGGAUUUUGAAUUUUCUUUCAAUUUAUUUUUAUCUGCCACAACUAAAACCAAAAUUAUGAACACCACCGCCCCCCAUCUCUGAUAUGUAUGAGUUUUCACAGUCCGAGACGAUUCGCCUAUUAACUGGAAGAAUCAGCGUGGAUAAAGCAAGUAAUUGCGUGUAUGAGCGCCUUUUUCAGUAUCGGUUGUAUUCUUGUUUUGGAUUUUGUCACUCUCUCUUUCAUUACUG